AAGUCGUAACAAGGUCUCCGUAGGUGAACCUGCGGAGGGAUCAUUAACACGUGUAAAAACGUAUUGAACUAACUAUACCUAACAACCAAUACCGUGAACUAUGUUUUUUUAUUAUAACUAUGUUUUAUCUUUUAUUUUUACUAUUACUUUUUUCUCUUUCUUUCUUAGAGAGAGAGAAAAUGAUAGUAACAAUAAUAUAACCCUUUUCCAAUUUCUUAUUUUUUUGUUAUCGUAUUAUAUAGUUUUGUAAUGAAAUUAUAUGAUCAUACAUAUAUAAAAAAUCAAAAGCACAACUCUUAGCAACGGAUAUCUUGGUUCUC
This 320-nucleotide unclassified non-coding RNA is filed under the name fungal sp. RNAcentral's name for it is "partial internal transcribed spacer region". The stretch from base 1 to 46 matches the Rfam family "Eukaryotic small subunit ribosomal RNA", at positions 1786 to 1831 of the family's 1831-position model. The record is from RNAcentral. Lineage: Eukaryota; Fungi.